Molecule: non-coding RNA, 2287 nt
Organism: Triticum urartu
Lineage: Eukaryota; Viridiplantae; Streptophyta; Magnoliopsida; Poales; Poaceae
Source: RefSeq, a predicted model, not a curated record
UGCCAUGUGUUUGCCAGGUUCCCACUUCUUGAGGAGUUCGCGGAUAGCCGGGAGCAACCAGAUCGGGUUCCUCUGGUGGUGGUGGCGAACAACGGGGCAAGGGUUGAUGUACCUGCAGGUUCCAAUGCUGAUUCUGGUUGUGGGCAGCAGAUUGGAUGCGAGGGCAGCACUCCUGCGCUUGCUGGCGUUCGACGACGAUCGGAUUCAUCCCCGACAAGGCCUGCACAGUGAACUGACAGAGUCAACCCCCAGGUGCCUUGUUGGAUGAAAAGAUUAAGGUUGGGGAGUAUGCCACCAGACCGGACACCGUGUCCAUCCCGAAUUAGUGCUAUGGAGCAGUUGAUUCGCAAAUACGCAGAGGAACCAACUAAAAGUGUGAUAAGACCUGAAUUUGGCUUUAGCCAAUCCGGAGCUGUUUGAAGGCAUGUUUGAGCAUACAAAGGCGUCACUGACUACGCUUGGUGUGGAAGGUGACGUUGCGGGAGAUGCCCCCCGUGGAUUUGGAGGCAAUUUCUGCAGAGCUGGGAACAGGGAAUUCGUCGAGGCGUGACUGGGGGAGAAGUACCCCACAUCGAUUGGGCUGUGCCAAGUGGAACCUUCUGAACAUGACAUUGGCAAGUUCUACCUCAGCAUGAUAGGGUGCGGCGAGAACAUUCUAAAGAAGAAAUGGUUCAAGCAUUAUCAUCCAAUACUAGCAGUGGGUUCUGGUCAAGACCUGAAGGAUGAGCUAACCCCUGGUGGCGAAUUGACACUGAAUUUGUGGAGAUGCAUACAACGGAUGCUAAGCGAGAAGGAGAUCAUGUACAGAGGGUAGUUAGAUAGAUUCAGAGGGAUAUUCGACCCUCAUUUUGUGGUGGAGCUUUGUAAGGAUGGUGAAGCUAAAGACUGGGAGUACAUCUACAUGAUGAUGGACUGUAAAAAGAUGGGCUACAGAAUCGACUGGCUUAAAAAGGGUCGGUAAACCGAAAUAUCUUGGUGGCCUUGGUGUGAUUGCCUUGAGAAAAUAAGGGAUCGCGUUGCAACUGCAUUCGGAGUGGCUCAAGCGUACAAAUGAUGCUAGACCUUGGCAGGGUUAAAACUUCUCAAGUGACCCUCAAGUUCAGUCUGCAUUCAAUAGGUUGGUGCACUGGCAGAUGGGUCCUGGUGAGUGGUGACAAAGUGCUUUUCUGGAAAGAUAGGUGGAUUAAGGAGCCCGUGUUGGGGAAUUUGCUACCCUGGUCUUGGCGCGAGUGAAAACGCAAGUGGUCAACAGACGGCUGGCCAAAGACGGGCGGAUAAUGCAUAAUUGGACUUUGGACAUUGGGGGUGAGUAGUCUACGAAAGGUCUAGUCUAGUUCAUUAAUCUGCGGGAGCGGUUGUUGGGUAUGCAUCAUUCUCCUGGCCGCAAGACAUGGCAAUUUGAAAAUGGAGUGACAUUGGACAGUACUCUGCGACCUCUACUUAUCACAUGCUCUGUGAGUGGCUCCAUUUGUUUCCUCUGCACUAUGAUGAUAUGGCGUUGUUGGGCACCCCUAUCCUGCAAAAUUUUCCUUUGGCUGGCUCUCCAAUACCCCUCUGGACGUCUCAUAGGAGAUUGCGACACGGCUUGCAAGACCAAAAAUUUGUCUGUUUCCUUUGUGAUCAAGAAGAAGGCACUGUGGAUCGUAUCCUCCUUCAAUGUGUGUUCUCUUGGUAGGUCUGGCACCUAUGUUUCGCAAGGGCAAAGAUCACUAUUUAGAUUCCUACGGUGACAAAUCGGCUUGAACCUUGGCGGGCAGCCAGUAGGAAGCUUUUUCUGAAGAUCUAUCGUAGAGGUUUUGACACUAUGGUUGCUCUUGUGUGCUGGGGCUUAUGGAAACAAUGGAACAGAAAGUCUUCGGAAGGAGAGAUAUCUUCAAUGAGUGGGAGCUUGCGUCUCUUAUUUUCCAAGAGCUCAAACUUUGGGCUAUUACGGGGAAGAAAUGAGUGCUACCAUUCUGUUAAUAGCCGACUAGAUCUGUAGGAUUGGUGUGUUCUUUCUAGCUUGCCUUGGGUGUUCUGCUAGACAGUGUGUAAUCUCUUAUAAUUAAUCUCUACCUUCUACUCCCUCCGUUCCUAAAUAUUUGUCUUUCUAGACAUUUUGAAUGACUACUACAUACGGAUGUAUCUAGACAUGUUUUAGAGUGUAGAUUCACUCAUUUUGCUCUGUAUGUAGUCACUUGUUAAAAUGCCUAGAAAGACAAGUAUUUAGGAACGGAGGGAGUAUAAAGUUAUGGUAUGCCUUUGUCGUACUCUUGAAAAACGGUGAAAUUUGCUCUCAUUUGCUCAA